RNAcentral lists this microRNA (19 nucleotides) under Oreochromis niloticus (Nile tilapia). Its description in RNAcentral is "oni-miR-10965". The record is from miRBase by way of RNAcentral. Lineage: Eukaryota; Metazoa; Chordata; Actinopteri; Cichliformes; Cichlidae.
UGUGGCUGUUUCUGAGCUC